This 497-nucleotide ribosomal RNA is filed under the name uncultured bacterium. RNAcentral's name for it is "partial 16S ribosomal RNA". It matches the Rfam family "Bacterial small subunit ribosomal RNA", at positions 28 to 507 of the family's 1533-position model. The record is from RNAcentral.
GAUGAACGCUGGCGGCGUGCCUAAUACAUGCAAGUCGAGCGAACAGAUGAGGAGCUUGCUCCUCUGACGUUAGCGGCGGACGGGUGAGUAACACGUGGAUAACCUACCUAUAAGACUGGAAUAACUUCGGGAAACCGGAGCUAAUACCGGAUAAUAUAUUGAACCGCAUGGUUCAAUAGUGAAAGACGGUUUUGCUGUCACUUAUAGAUGGAUCCGCGCCGCAUUAGCUAGUUGGUAAGGUAACGGCUUACCAAGGCAACGAUGCGUAGCCGACCUGAGAGGGUGAUCGGCCACACUGGAACUGAGACACGGUCCAGACUCCUACGGGAGGCAGCAGUAGGGAAUCUUCCGCAAAGGGCGAAAGCCUGACGGAGCAACGCCGCGUGAGUGAUGAAGGUCUUCGGAUCGUAAAACUCUGUUAUUAGGGAAGAACAAAUGUGUAAGUAACUAUGCACGUCUUGACGGUACCUAAUCAGAAAGCCACGGCUAACUACGUG